Molecule: transfer RNA, 55 nt
Filed under: Myotragus balearicus (Balearic islands cave goat)
Lineage: Eukaryota; Metazoa; Chordata; Mammalia; Artiodactyla; Bovidae
Description: partial tRNA-Phe
Source: RNAcentral
AAACCUAAAGCAAGGCACUGAAAAUGCCUAGAUGAGUAUAUCAACUCCAUAAACA